AGCGGCGGAUGGGUGAGUAACACGUGGGGAACCUGCCCCUAAGUCUGGGAUACCAUUUGGAAACAGGUGCUAAUACCGGAUAAUAAAGCAGAUCGCAUGAUCAGCUUUUGAAAGGCGGCGUAAGCUGUCGCUAAGGGAUGGCCCCGCGGUGCAUUAGCUAGUUGGUAAGGUAACGGCUUACCAAGGCGACGAUGCAUAGCCGAGUUGAGAGACUGAUCGGCCACAUUGGGACUGAGACACGGCCCAAACUCCUACGGGAGGCGGCAGUAGGGAAUCUUCCACAAUGGACGCAAGUCUGAUGGAGCAACGCCGCGUGAGUGAAGUAGGUUUUCGGAUCGUAAAGCUCUGUUGUUGGUGAAGAAGGAUAGAGGUAGUAACUGGCCUUUAUUUGACGGUAAUCAACCAGAAAGUCACGGCUAACUACGUGCCAGCAGCCGCGGUAAUACGUAGGUGGCAAGCGUUGUCCGGAUUUAUUGGGCGUAAAGCGAGCGCAGGCGGAAAAAUAAGUCUAAUGUGAAAGCCCUCGGCUUAACCGAGGAACUGCAUCGGAAACUGUUUUUCUUGAGUGCAGAAGAGGAGAGUGGAACUCCAUGUGUAGCGGUGGAAUGCGUAGAUAUAUGGAAGAACACCAGUGGCGAACGCGGCUCUCUGGUCUGCAACUGACGCUGAGGCUCGAAAGCAUGGGUAGCGAACAGGAUUAGAUA
Molecule: ribosomal RNA, 704 nt
Filed under: uncultured bacterium
Lineage: Bacteria
Description: bacterial SSU rRNA
Rfam family: Bacterial small subunit ribosomal RNA
Source: RNAcentral